CUGGCCCCAGCGUCUGACUAGCAGGCCCGGUGGGGCCCAGAAACGUGCGUGGUGUGAUUCUGAUGCACGCGGGAUGCAGACGACAUUCAGGGACGCUGUCCCCGCUCCUGGAACACUUCUGAGUGACUUGCUAGGCACCUGGAGCGCCUCUUCAGCGUCUCAGGCUUUGCCACCCCAGGACUGAGGAAGACGUCCCCACUCCCUUCCUACCCUCACGGCCACGCCCCCCACCACAAGCCCCAGCCCCGCUAGGCUAAGACUUCACAGAAGACAAGUACCACUCACUCCCCAAAAAGACACCAAGCCAACAACCCCUGGGGACACGGCUCCCCACAGCCCACCCACUCCAAGAGACAGACCCACCCUGCGCCGGAGAAGCGAGGCUCCCAGCAUGCUGUGGGGAGCGCUGCUGACCCUUGCAGGAGCAGUGGCCAGUGCGACCUCGUUGACAUUUUUCCCUGCCUGAUUCUCACAAAACCCAGUGGGGUGGCCGAGAUUACAGUGAGCAAGCAAUGCAGGGUCGUGGGAAGGAAGGUGAUGAUCCCAAGGUCAAGCAGCCAGACCGGGCACAACAGCAACCUGCAGAUGCCAACCCACUGAAGCGCCUCUACUGACUGCUAGUUCACACAGCCCGCCACUUACCAGAAGCGGGUGUGUGACUGCAAGCUCAGCCAUCACCCCUGCCCCUCUGAACACAAGCCCACAAGUGAGGUGACUUGCCCAAGGUCACACCCAGCAGCUGGGCAGGACAGGGUGCAGCCAGAUGCACCCUUCUGCACCUCCCGGCCCAAGUCCCACCAACUCCUCUGCUCUUGGGAGCUGACCCUCAGCCUCUUCCUUCCCUUCCCCGCAAGGCAGCCCACUAACUGGGAGACCAAAGGAGACCACCAGACCCCAGUCCCGAAAACCCCAGCCGGAAGUUCUCACAAGGAAGAGCAGCUGGGGCUGGGAUCAGGGGCCUGUGUCGCCUCCUCCUCUGCACCAGAAUCUGCCGGCCCAGCUUCUCCAAUGCUCCAUCCUGC
Molecule: long non-coding RNA, 1022 nt
Filed under: Pan troglodytes (chimpanzee)
Lineage: Eukaryota; Metazoa; Chordata; Mammalia; Primates; Hominidae
Description: long non-coding RNA NONPTRT005898
Source: RNAcentral